CACUCCUACGGGAGGCAGCAGUGGGGAAUAUUGGACAAUGGGCGCAAGCCUGAUCCAGCCAUGCCGCGAGAGUGAUGAAGGCCCUAGGGUUGUAAAGCUCUUUCACCGGAGAAGAUAAUGACGGUAUCCGGAGAAGAAGCCCCGGCUAACUUCGUGCCAGCAGCCGCGGUAAUACGAAGGGGGCUAGCGUUGUUCGGAAUUACUGGGCGUAAAGCGCACGUAGGCGGAUCGAUCAGUCAGGGGUGAAAUCCCAGGGCUCAACCCUGGAACUGCCUUUGAUACUGUCGAUCUGGAGUAUGGAAGAGGUGAGUGGAAUUCCGAGUGUAGAGGUGAAAUUCGUAGAUAUUCGGAGGAACACCAGUGGCGAAGGCGGCUCACUGGUCCAUUACUGACGCUGAGGUGCGAAAGCGUGGGGAGCAAACAGGAUUAGAUACCCGAGUAGUCCCAUG
Molecule: ribosomal RNA, 449 nt
Filed under: uncultured organism
Description: partial 16S ribosomal RNA
Rfam family: Bacterial small subunit ribosomal RNA
Source: RNAcentral